GGUUAAGCGACUAAGCGUACACGGUGGAUGCCCUGGCAGUCAGAGGCGAUGAAGGGCGUGCUAAUCUGCGAUAAGCGCCGGUAAGGUGAUAUGAACCGUUAUAACCGGCGAUACCCGAAUGGGGAAACCCAGUGUGAUUCGUCACACUAUCAUUAACUGAAUCCAUAGGUUAAUGAGGCGAACCGGGGGAACUGAAACAUCUAAGUACCCCGAGGAAAAGAAAUCAACCGAGAUUCCCCCAGUAGCGGCGAGCGAACGGGGAGGAGCCCAGAGCCUGAAUCAGCAUGUGUGUUAGUGGAAGCGUCUGGAAAGGCGCGCGAUACAGGGUGACAGCCCCGUACACAAAAGCGCAUGUGCUGUGAGCUCGAUGAGUAGGGCGGGACACGUGGUAUCCUGUCUGAAUAUGGGGGGACCAUCCUCCAAGGCUAAAUACUCCUGACUGACCGAUAGUGAACCAGUACCGUGAGGGAAAGGCGAAAAGAACCCCGGCGAGGGGAGUGAAAAAGAACCUGAAACCGUGUACGUACAAGCAGUGGGAGCCCCACCACUAAGCCAGUGGUGAACUCCACAUACGCAUCCUUUGCUGAGGAUACGGUUAACGGAGCGAAAGCGACGUUCAACCGCAAAAGAAGCAGAGGGGGCUUAGUGGUGGGGUGACUGCGUACCUUUUGUAUAAUGGGUCAGCGACUUAUAUUCUGUAGCAAGGUUAACCGAAUAGGGGAGCCGGAGGGAAACCGAGUCUUAAUUGGGCGUUAAGUUGCAGGGUAUAGACCCGAAACCCGGUGAUCUAGCCAUGGGCAGGUUGAAGGUUGGGUAACACUAACUGGAGGACCGAACCGACUAAUGUUGAAAAAUUAGCGGAUGACCUGUGGCUGGGGGUGAAAGGCCAAUCAAACCGGGAGAUAGCUGGUUCUCCCCGAAAGCUAUUUAGGUAGCGCCUCGUGAACUCAUCUCCGGGGGUAGAGCACUGUUUCGGCUAGGGGGCCAUCCCGGCUUACCAACCCGAUGCAAACUGCGAAUACCGGAGAAUGUUAUCACGGGAGACACACGGCGGGUGCUAACGUCCGUCGUGAAGAGGGAAACAACCCAGACCGCCAGCUAAGGUCCCAAAGUCAUGGUUAAGUGGG
RNAcentral lists this ribosomal RNA (1127 nucleotides) under Salmonella enterica subsp. enterica serovar Adjame. Its description in RNAcentral is "partial 23S ribosomal RNA". It matches the Rfam family "Bacterial large subunit ribosomal RNA", at positions 1 to 1067 of the family's 2925-position model. The record is from RNAcentral. Lineage: Bacteria; Pseudomonadati; Pseudomonadota; Gammaproteobacteria; Enterobacterales; Enterobacteriaceae.